UACGUAGGUGGCAAGCGUUAUCCGGAUUUAUUGGGUGUAAAGGGCGUGUAGGCGGGAAUGCAAGUCAGAUGUGAAAACUAUGGGCUCAACCCAUAGCCUGCAUUUGAAACUGUAUUUCUUGAGUGCUGGAGAGGCAAUCGGAAUUCCGUGUGUAGCGGUGAAAUGCGUAGAUAUACGGAGGAACACCAGUGGCGAAGGCGGAUAGCUGGACAGUAACUGACGCUGAGGCGCGAAAGCGUGGGGAGCAAACAGG
This 253-nucleotide ribosomal RNA is filed under the name uncultured bacterium. RNAcentral's name for it is "partial 16S ribosomal RNA". It matches the Rfam family "Bacterial small subunit ribosomal RNA", at positions 524 to 776 of the family's 1533-position model. The record is from RNAcentral.